UACGUAGGGGGCAAGCGUUGUCCGGAUUUAUUGGGCGUAAAGAGCGUGUAGGCGGCCUGACAGGUCUGCUGUGAAAACUCGAGGCUCAACCUCGAGAUGUCGGCGGAAACCGUCUGGCUAGAGUCCGGAAGAGGAGAGUGGAAUUCCUGGUGUAGCGGUGAAAUGCGUAGAUAUCGUUUGGAACGCCAAUGGUGAAAACAGGUCGCUGGGGAUGAGCUGACGCUGAGACACGAAAGCCAGGGGAGCAAACGGG
This 253-nucleotide ribosomal RNA is filed under the name uncultured bacterium. Its description in RNAcentral is "partial 16S ribosomal RNA". It matches the Rfam family "Bacterial small subunit ribosomal RNA", at positions 524 to 776 of the family's 1533-position model. The record is from RNAcentral.